RNAcentral lists this ribosomal RNA (476 nucleotides) under uncultured bacterium. Its description in RNAcentral is "partial 16S ribosomal RNA". It matches the Rfam family "Bacterial small subunit ribosomal RNA", at positions 28 to 523 of the family's 1533-position model. The record is from RNAcentral.
GAUGAACGCUGGCGGCGUGCUUAACACAUGCAAGUCGAGCGAGUGAGUUCUUCGGAACAAUCUAGCGGCGGACGGGUGAGUAACACGUGGGCAACCUGCCUCAUAGAGGGGGAUAGCCUCCCGAAAGGGAGAUUAAUACCGCAUAAAAUUAUCGAGUGGCAUCACAUGAUAAUCAAAGGAGUAAUCCGCUAUGAGAUGGGCCCGCGGCGCAUUUGCUAGUUGGUGAGGUAACGGCUCACCAAGGCGACGAUGCGUAGCCGACCUGAGAGGGUGAUCGGCCACAUUGGGACUGAGACACGGCCCAGACUCCUACGGGAGGCAGCAGUGGGGAAUAUUGCACAAUGGGGGAAACCCUGAUGCAGCAACGCCGCGUGAGUGAUGAAGGUCUUCGGAUUGUAAAGCUCUGUCUUUGGGGACGAUAAUGACGGUACCCAAGGAGGAAGCCACGGCUAACUACGUGCCAGCCGCCGCCGUAA